UUUGGCUUGAGGUUGUGGUGCAAAGGACCCUAGGGAGAAAUUACUCUGAACCAUCACUUUAAGGCGCAGACAGUCCAA
Molecule: long non-coding RNA, 78 nt
Organism: Etheostoma spectabile (orangethroat darter)
Lineage: Eukaryota; Metazoa; Chordata; Actinopteri; Perciformes; Percidae
Exons: 3
Source: RefSeq, a predicted model, not a curated record